RNAcentral lists this RNase P RNA (462 nucleotides) under bacterium. Its description in RNAcentral is "partial RNase P RNA component class A". It matches the Rfam family "Bacterial RNase P class A", at positions 1 to 261 of the family's 367-position model. From Rfam's summary of the family: Ribonuclease P (RNase P) is a ubiquitous endoribonuclease, found in archaea, bacteria and eukarya as well as chloroplasts and mitochondria. The record is from RNAcentral.
GAAGUACGCCGGGCGAUCGCACGGCGCGUCGAACGGCGCGCUUGGGUGAGGAAAGUCCGGGCUUCACAGGGCAAGGUGCAGGAUAACGUCCUGUCAGGGUGACCUGAAGGAAAGUGCCACAGAAACAUACCGCCCCAAAAACUGCAAGCAGUUUUUGGGGACCCCGAGAGCUUUUGAAAGGUGCUCCGGUGCUUCGCACCUGUGCACCCCCCGCGUUCCGCGGGGCCCCCACAUCCCGCGAACGAGUCGUGGGAUCUCUGGGGGACCCGCGCGAGCGGGGGCGCGCAGGUGCGAAGCACCGGAGUGCCUCUUUCAACUCGUGGGGUCCCCAAAAAGCGCAAAGCGCUUUUUGGGGUAAGGGUGAAAUCGUGAGGUAAGAGCUCACGGAGCUUCGCGGUGACGCGGGCUCGGGUAAACCCCACCUGAAGCAAGACCGCUCGAACUCUGGGACCUUCGAGUCCC